GGGGCUAUGGCUCAAUGGUAAAGCAUCUGCUUGGAAUGCAUAAAGUCCCAAGUUCAAUUCCCAGCAUCUCCA
This 72-nucleotide transfer RNA is filed under the name Sphaerodactylus townsendi. RNAcentral's name for it is "tRNA-Ser". It matches the Rfam family "tRNA". From Rfam's summary of the family: Transfer RNA (tRNA) molecules are approximately 80 nucleotides in length. Their secondary structure includes four short double-helical elements and three loops (D, anti-codon, and T loops). The record is from RNAcentral. Lineage: Eukaryota; Metazoa; Chordata; Lepidosauria; Squamata; Sphaerodactylidae.